AUUGAACGCUGGCGGCAGGCUUAACACAUGCAAGUCGAGCGAGCGGCGGACGGGUGAGUAAUGUCCGGGAAACUGCCUGAUGGAGGGGGGUAACUACUGGAAACGGCAGCUAAUACUGCAUACCAUCUGAUGUGCCCAGAUGGGGUUAGCUUGUAGGUGGGGUAACGGCUCACCUAGGCGAAGAUCCCUAGCUGGUCUGAGAGGAUGACCAGCCACACUGGAACUGGAAAACGGUCAGAACUCCUACGGGAGGCGGCAGUGGGGAAUAUUGCACAAUGGGCGAAAGCCUGAUGCAGCCAUGCCGCGUGUGUGAAGAGGGCCUUCGGGUUGAAAGGCACUUUCAGCGGGAAGGCGUUACCCGCAGAAGAAGCACCGGCUAACUCCGUGCCAGCAGCCGCGGUAAUAC
This 406-nucleotide ribosomal RNA is filed under the name uncultured bacterium. RNAcentral describes it as "partial 16S ribosomal RNA". It matches the Rfam family "Bacterial small subunit ribosomal RNA", at positions 30 to 526 of the family's 1533-position model. The record is from RNAcentral.